GAUGAACGCUGGCGGCGUGCCUAAUACAUGCAAGUCGAGCGAACAGAUGAGGAGCUUGCUCCUCUGACGUUAGCGGCGGACGGGUGAGUAACACGUGGAUAACCUACCUAUAAGACUGGGAUAACUUCGGGAAACCGGAGCUAAUACCGGAUAAUAUAUUGAACCGCAUGGUUCAAUAGUGAAAGACGGUUUUGCUGUCACUUAUAGAUGGAUCCGCGCCGCAUUAGCUAGUUGGUAAGGUAACGGCUUACCAAGGCAACGAUGCGUAGCCGACCUGAGAGGGUGAUCGGCCACACUGGAACUGAGACACGGUCCAGACUCCUACGGGAGGCAGCAGUAGGGAAUCUUCCGCAAUGGGCGAAAGCCUGACGGAGCAACGCCGCGUGAGUGAUGAAGGUCUCCGGAUCGUAAAACUCUGUUAUUAGGGAAGAACAAAUGUGUAAGUAACUAUGCACGUCUUGACGGUACCUAAUCAGAAAGCCACGGCUAACUACGUG
This 497-nucleotide ribosomal RNA is filed under the name uncultured bacterium. RNAcentral's name for it is "partial 16S ribosomal RNA". It matches the Rfam family "Bacterial small subunit ribosomal RNA", at positions 28 to 507 of the family's 1533-position model. The record is from RNAcentral.